Molecule: ribosomal RNA, 253 nt
Filed under: uncultured bacterium
Lineage: Bacteria
Description: partial 16S ribosomal RNA
Rfam family: Bacterial small subunit ribosomal RNA
Source: RNAcentral
GACAGAGGGGGCAAGCGUUGCUCGGAAUUACUGGGCGUAAAGCGUGCGCAGGCGGUUUUGUAAGCCGGAUGUGAAAUCCCCGGGCUUAACCUGGGAAUGGCAUUUGGGACUGCAAGGCUUGAGUGCGGCAGAGGAGACUGGAAUUCCUGGUGUAGCAGUGAAAUGCGUAGAUAUCAGGAGGAAUACCGAUGGCGAAGGCAGGUCUCUGGGCUGACACUGACGCUCAUGCACGAAAGCGUGGGGAGCAAACAGG